UGGGGAAUAUUGCGCAAUGGGCGAAAGCCUGACGCCGCGACGCCGCGUGAGGGAUGAAGGUUUUCUUAUCGUAAACCUCUGUCAGAAGGGAAGAAACCGCACUGUGCUAAUCAGCAGUGCCUUGACGGUACCUUCAAAGGAAGCACCGGCUAACUCCGUGCCAGCAGCCGCGGUAAUACGGAGGGUGCAAGCGUUAAUCGGAAUUACUGGGCGUAAAGCGCACGUAGGCUGCUUUGUAAGUCAGGGGUGAAAUCCCACGGCUCAACCGUGGAACUGCCUUUGAUACUGCUUAGCUUGAAUCCGGGAGAGGGUGGCGGAAUUCCAGGUGUAGGAGUGAAAUCCGUAGAUAUCUGGAGGAACAUCAGUGGCGAAGGCGGCCACCUGGACCGGUAUUGACGCUGAGGUGCGAAAGCGUGGGGAGCAAACAGG
Molecule: ribosomal RNA, 429 nt
Filed under: Fusobacteriota bacterium
Lineage: Bacteria; Fusobacteriati; Fusobacteriota
Description: Fusobacteria bacterium partial 16S ribosomal RNA
Rfam family: Bacterial small subunit ribosomal RNA
Source: RNAcentral